ACGCUCACCUUGAUCAGACUCACCACCAUCUCUCUCUCUCUCUCUCUCUACAGUUCCCUUCCAUGGUACAGACCACCAAUAUCUUGCACCACCACCAUGGUCGUCGCACCUACAUCUCACCACCUACAACCUCAACACAAUUGACCAUCACCACCAUUCCUACCAUCCAUUGCCACCCUACCAUUUUCUCCAUCACCACCUCUUUCUUGUUCCAUGUGAAACCCUAAAAUCGAUACCAACAACUAAUAGAAUUUGGAGAAAAAUUUGAUCUAAGAAAAAUCAAAGCAAACAACUUAGAAGAUGCUACCAUAUACUCGUACAAAGCUUCUCAAUAGGAUCUCGAAGUUUCUCCGUGACGAUACUGAUAGCGGAUAUACCACCAAACCAGGCAAUUUACAUUAAUAAUCUCAACGAGAAGGUCAAGAAAGAAGGCAUUUGUAUUAGCAUUAUUUCGUUGUUUCUGUUUUGAACUUAUAAUACCACGAACUUCAAAAGCCUCUUUAUACAAGUCUAGUAACUCAGCUAAAAUCAUUGGGAAGGGGAAGGAAAAGAUUCAUCCAAAUCAUCUUCUCAUGUCUUCCAGGCAACCUGAUAAUUUGGAUUCAUAUAAGUUGGAGAAGUAGAUGCCAAGGGUAAAGCUAGAAAGUUGCCAAUUAAAGCAGAUAUUAGGAAAGCUUUAUGCUUUCCUGCAAUAUCUUUACAAGUUUAUUCUCUUUUAAAGUCUCAUGAAAAGUCAACAACCGGUUCCAUGUGUUAAAGUCAACAUGCUGGACCUGGAGUUGAAAAUUUGAUAAAAGGUUGCCAAGAUCUUGUCUGUAUGGAUAGUCUGGAAUGCUAAAAAAUCAAAUCUUACAAAGAGAAGCUAGAUUACUCAUCUGCAGCAGCAGUUAUUGGAUUUUCUCUCAUAGUAUCAUUACUAAGAGCUUUCAGGAUAAAAAGUGAAGCUACACAUGUCAUGGUUGCAGCUCCUUUAAUCGCCUUUGUAACCACCCACAUUAUUUUUUUAAACUGCUGCCAAUUUGAGUAUGGUAAGCGUUCAUUUCCCCUCAUAAUACAAUAAGGAAAAGACCUUUUUAACCUUUUUAAAAUUUUAAACCUUUUAUAUACAGACUUAAAUAUGAAGGUUUGUAUUAUAAUGGGAGUAUGGUAAGCGUCAUUUUUAGAGGCUCGUUAAAGAUGUUAUUGUUAGGAAAAUGGUCUUAAAGAUAAAAUAAUAAAGGAUAUUGAAUAUUUGAAUAUACGUGGGAAAACUCCAAACCCAGAGAAAAAAAAUCCAAUAUAUGACAAAUUAUUAGUCAAAUCUACUUUGUUGUGUCGUUUUAAAGUUUGUUUAUUUGAUCCCUUUCAGGAGAAAGGAGGUUGCUUCUUUGAAUGGUUUAGAGUGAAGGAUAAUGGUAAAGUUUGUGUUGAUACCUAAUUUGUGUUUGGUUGGUUUGUCAGGCACUUUGAAGCUGCCAGACAAUAAAUACAGCAUCGGAUAACUCCAACAAAAUUGUCCAACCGACUUCGGUUUAUACGGACUGAUGUCCUCCUGAUGGAUGAAGUCUUACAGAGGCCGGUGUACAAGAUUUUGGUUUCGAUGUCAUCAUUACUAUCUAUCUAUCUAUGAGUAAUGAGUUAGUCAUGUUUAUAAUUUGUUUAUUUGACUAGUUACUGAUUAAAAAUGUUGAUGGGUUCAGGCU
Molecule: long non-coding RNA, 1682 nt
Organism: Lactuca sativa (garden lettuce)
Lineage: Eukaryota; Viridiplantae; Streptophyta; Magnoliopsida; Asterales; Asteraceae
Source: RefSeq, a predicted model, not a curated record